This 319-nucleotide ribosomal RNA is filed under the name uncultured eukaryote. RNAcentral's name for it is "partial 18S ribosomal RNA". It matches the Rfam family "Eukaryotic small subunit ribosomal RNA", at positions 1470 to 1796 of the family's 1831-position model. The record is from RNAcentral.
CCCUUAGAUGUUCUGGGCCGCACGCGCGCUACAAUGGUUUUCGCAAACGGAUGCAUUCUCGAAGGAGAAUGCCAAUCUUGGAAUCUAUGCCUUGGUCGGGACAGUUGCUUGCAAUUUUUCGACUCGAACCAGGAAUUCCUUGUAAUCGUGAUUCAUCACAUCACGAUGAAUACGUCCCUGCCCUUUGUACACACCGCCCGUCGCUCCUACCGAUCGAAGAGUUAGGUGAAUUGUUUUGAUCGAUAAGAUUUGACUAUGGUCAACUCUCGUUGUGAAAUUCUGUGAAUCUGACUGUUUAGAGGAAGGAAAAGUCGUAACA